Long non-coding RNA from Alexandromys fortis (reed vole), 1044 nucleotides. RefSeq lists it as uncharacterized. The transcript has 3 exons. Lineage: Eukaryota; Metazoa; Chordata; Mammalia; Rodentia; Cricetidae. The record is from RefSeq and is a predicted model, not a curated record.
CAGAACCAGGUCUUGAAGUGAAGGAGACAAAGAGGAGUGAGAGCCAGAGUCCUGGACACCACAGAUGCCAACCUCUCACUGUCUGACGCCCAGAGGUGAAACAGGUGGCCAGCUCCCACUCACAGCAGCUCGCCCUUUAGUCUAGCCCUGUCUCCAUCCAUCCUUUCUCUCUUCUCCCAAUUCUUCCCUAGCCCUGCUCCACCCCCACCUUCAACCCUCCAGCCUCCCCCCCCACAUACUUUAAGAAGUAAAAGCCUCAACACAGAUGGCUCGUCCUGACCCCCUCCCUGCCCUGACCCCACGGAAGAGACAGACCCCACUCUUCAUCUCCCUGAGCAUCUGCAGGGGCGACUUCCCAAUGCAGAAGACUCAUCUGAUCCUGGAAAAGAAUCGGCACUGCCUACAAAUCACCUUCCCCACGGAGGCAGGAUGGAAAGAUGAUGGAAAAUUCCAGGGGCAUGGAAGGGCAAGGGGCCCUCUACUCUGGAGUCUGCUUGGAGCCCCUCAACAGCACAAUUCACAAUGGUUGCCUGCACACAAAGAAUAUUUAUGUAGAAAACCUGGUAAAUAAGAAUGCUAAAAUAUGAAUAAACCCAGCUCAAGGCCUUAGUGGAGGUAACCACCUGAGGAAGAGCCUCACGCCUUGCAAACAAGCCUAUUAAUGUGUCGAUAGUGGAGGAGCUCUAUCUUCCUGCGCCCCAAUGAUCCAGAGUUCACCUUCUUACAGCCCCGUCAGGUGCCAGCACCUCAGGAACCAAUCUGCGAUUCCUAACCAGAAAUAACUGAAAUUCCACGUAUAGCUGUUGUAAAGACAGUGACCCGUGCCUCCUUCCAGAAGCCCACACCUAGGUGGAGGGUGAAUUCUCACCGCAACUCCUGAUGUCUCCAGAGGCCCUCACAGCCUUUAACACAAACUACCUGCUGCUUGAAGCCAGUGUUGUCAAGAGAAACACUAUCCUCCCUGUAGGUAAGAAAGACCAUAGACUUCAAAUUAGGCGACAUCUCAAAAAAGGGAGGCUGGGAUAGAGCAGCUGCUUAGCAUGG